GUUUCCAUUCCUCAUAGGUAGGAUAAGAAC
This is a non-coding RNA of Defluviitoga tunisiensis, 30 nucleotides long. NCBI's taxonomy places the organism in Bacteria, Thermotogati, Thermotogota, Thermotogae, Petrotogales, Petrotogaceae. The record is from Rfam.